Non-coding RNA from Leptonychotes weddellii (Weddell seal), 1086 nucleotides. NCBI's taxonomy places the organism in Eukaryota, Metazoa, Chordata, Mammalia, Carnivora, Phocidae. The record is from RefSeq and is a predicted model, not a curated record.
CAUGCUUCUUAAAGUCAGGGCCAGCGGUUCGAAGCCUUGGUCGCAAAUUAGAAUCACCCCUGGAGCUUUGACAAACUGCCGCCCUGGAAUGGGUAAAUAUGUUGCGUGUGCACACCGUGAAAUUCGCACAGCACCGAACGUAGGCGAUGUCCAGCAACAUGGAUGAAUCUCACAAACGUAACGCCGAAAGGCAUUUGCUAGACAUCAGACUACAUAUUGUAUAAUUACUUUUAUGAAGCGCAGAGACGGAUACAGUUAGGAGCGAGGAAGGCAGGUGACUUCGCCAAAGGGCCAGUGUUCUCCCCGUGGGUGAAGGGCACCACCAUCACCUGGGGGGCGUGAGGGAGAUUUCUGGGGACUGAUUUAAACUUCCAUUUAUCUAUCAGGGUGUUGGUGACACGGUGUGUACAGUGUGACAGUUCCCUGAGCCAUGCACUGGAGAUGUGUCUUUUUCUAGAUGUAUGUUGUACUUUGAUACAGAGUUUUAAACGUUUCCUCCCCCAACCUUGCAUAGUGCAGUGCUCAGUAAAAUGGGUUGAAUGAGUGGAUGACAAUUAGCAGAAGUUAUGGCCCUGGUGACCUUAUUCAGGUUUUAAAUAUCCUCAUGUAGGCCGGCAACUCUUGGAUUUUUAUUCAUCCCGAUCUCCCUCUGCUAAAUCCAAAUCUGUCAUGUAGCUUGUCCCCCUGAUACUUUUAUUUGGCAGCUCUAGGCAUCUCAGAGAUGGCCUCUCCAAGACAGAAAUCUUCAUUUUGUCCUCCUUUCUUCCAGCAGUGUUCUCCACCUUGGUGAAGGGCAUCACCAUUCACUCAGCCUCCUCUGGUUCAAGCAGCGAUCACCUCCUGCCUAGACUGUUACCGUAGCUCACGAGUCAGAUCCUGACACUUCACUGCUCAGAAUCCUCCCAUGGCUCCCCAUUACCCUUGGAAUAAAAUGCAAACUCCUCAAUAUGGCCUUAUUAUGGCUGUCCUGAUCUGGCCCCUGCCAAUUCCCUGGAUUCACCUCUUACACUUGUCCCCCUUACUUUCUUUGUUCCUGCCAUGGUUGUCUGUUCUCUGUCCCUUGAAUAAACUGAGCUGCCGCCCAUC